This 253-nucleotide ribosomal RNA is filed under the name uncultured bacterium. RNAcentral describes it as "partial 16S ribosomal RNA". It matches the Rfam family "Bacterial small subunit ribosomal RNA", at positions 524 to 776 of the family's 1533-position model. The record is from RNAcentral.
UACGUAGGGGGCAAGCGUUGUCCGGAAUCAUUGGGCGGAAAGAGCGUGUAGGCGGUUUGUCGCGUCUGCCGUGAAAAUCCGGGGCUCAACCCCGGACUUGCGGUGGGUACGGGCAGACUAGAGUGUGGUAGGGGAGACUGGAAUUGCUGGUGUAGCGGUUAAAUGCGCAGAUAUCAGGAGGAACACCGAUGGCGAAGGCAGGUCUCUGGGCCACUACUGACGCUGAGAAGCGAAAGCGUGGGGAGCGAACAGG